Molecule: ribosomal RNA, 1510 nt
Filed under: Apilactobacillus micheneri
Lineage: Bacteria; Bacillati; Bacillota; Bacilli; Lactobacillales; Lactobacillaceae
Description: Lactobacillus micheneri 16S ribosomal RNA
Source: RNAcentral
UAAGAUGAGAGUUUGAUCCUGGCUCAGGACGAACGCUGGCGGCGUGCCUAAUACAUGCAAGUCGAACGAGUCCUCCCAAUUUGAUUUUAUGCUUGCAUAAAUGAUUUUUGGAUUCGGGACGAGUGGCGAACUGGUGAGUAACACGUGGGUAACCUGCCCUGAAGUAGGGGAUAACAUUUGGAAACAGAUGCUAAUACCGUAUAAUUAGUUGGAACCACAUGGUUCCAACUUGAAAGAUGGCUCUGCUAUCACUUUCUGAGAGGGUAAUCGGCCACAUUGGGACUGAGACACGGCCCAGACUCCUACGGGAGGCAGCAGUAGGGAAUCUUCCACAAUGGACGAAAGUCUGAUGGAGCAACGCCGCGUGAGUGAAGAAGGGUUUCGGCUCGUAAAACUCUGUUGUUAAAGAAGAACAAGUGUAAGAGUAACUGUUUACGCUUUGACGGUAUUUAACCAGAAAGCCACGGCUAACUACGUGCCAGCAGCCGCGGUAAUACGUAGGUGGCAAGCGUUGUCCGGAUUUAUUGGGCGUAAAGCGAGCGCAGGUGGUUCUUUAAGUCUGUUGUGAAAGCCCUCAGCUCAACUGAGGAAGUGCAGCGGAAACUAAAGGACUUGAGUACAGAAGAGGAUAGUGGAACUCCAUGUGUAGCGGUGAAAUGCGUAGAUAUAUGGAAGAACACCAGUGGCGAAGGCGGCUAUCUGGUCUGUUACUGACACUGAGGCUCGAAAGCAUGGGUAGCGAACAGGAUUAGAUACCCUGGUAGUCCAYGCYGUAAACGAUGARURCUARGUGUUGGRRGGUUUCCGCCYYUCAGUGCYGCAGCUAACGCAUUAAGCAYUCCGCCUGGGGAGUACGRCCGCAAGGUURAAACUCAAAGGAAUUGACGGGGGCCCGCACAAGCGGUGGAGCAUGUGGUUUAAUUCGAWGCAACGCGAAGAACCUUACCWGGUCUUGACAUCUWSUGMMARCCYWAGAGAUWRGRYGUUYCCUUCGGGRACASWRWGACAGGUGSUGCAUGGYUGUCGUCAGCUCGUGUYGUGARAUGUUGGGUUAAGUCCCGCAACGAGCGCAACCCUUAUUAUUAGUUGCCAGCAUUAAGUUGGGCACUCUAGUGAGACUGCCGGUGAUAAACCGGAGGAAGGUGGGGAUGACGUCAAAUCAUCAUGCCCCUUAUGACCUGGGCUACACACGUGCUACAAUGGAUGGUACAACGAGUYGCGAAACCGCGAGGUCAAGCUAAUCUCUUAAAGCCAUUCUCAGUUCGGAUUGCAGGCUGCAACUCGCCUGCAUGAAGUUGGAAUCACUAGUAAUCGUGGAUCAGCAUGCCACGGUGAAUACGUUCCCGGGCCUUGUACACACCGCCCGUCAYACCAUGAGAGUUUGUAACACCCAAAGACGAUGGAGUAACCUUCGGGAGCUAGUUGUCUAAGGUGGGACAGAUGAUUAGGGUGAAGUCGUAACAAGGUAGCCGUAGGAGAACCUGCGGCUGGAUCACCUCCUUUCUAAGGA